GCGAGCUGUGGGCCUACAGUCGAGUUAAGACGGGGGGGGCAGGCUUGUUUCGUAAUUACAGGGCGUAAAGGGCCCCGAGGCGGCCUUCUAAGUCGAACGGGAAAUCCCCGGGCUAAACCCGGGAACUGCGUCCGAUACUGGAAGGCUUGAAUCCGGGAGAGGGAUGCGGAAUUCCAGGUGUAGCGGUGAAAUGCGUAGAUAUCUGGAGGAACACCGGGGGCGAAGGCGGCAUCCUGGACCGGCAUUGACGCUGAGGCGCGAAAGCCAGGGGAGCAAACGGGAUUAGAUACCCGAGUAGUC
RNAcentral lists this ribosomal RNA (300 nucleotides) under uncultured Balnearium sp. RNAcentral's name for it is "bacterial SSU rRNA". It matches the Rfam family "Bacterial small subunit ribosomal RNA", at positions 496 to 795 of the family's 1533-position model. The record is from RNAcentral. Lineage: Bacteria; Pseudomonadati; Aquificota; Aquificia; Desulfurobacteriales; Desulfurobacteriaceae.